GGGGUUGUAGCUCAGUGGUACAGUGCUUACCUACCAUAUAUGAAGCACUGGGUUCGAUCCUCAGCACCACA
This 71-nucleotide transfer RNA is filed under the name Marmota monax (woodchuck). Its description in RNAcentral is "tRNA.Gly". Lineage: Eukaryota; Metazoa; Chordata; Mammalia; Rodentia; Sciuridae. The record is from RNAcentral.